This 253-nucleotide ribosomal RNA is filed under the name uncultured bacterium. RNAcentral describes it as "partial 16S ribosomal RNA". It matches the Rfam family "Bacterial small subunit ribosomal RNA", at positions 524 to 776 of the family's 1533-position model. The record is from RNAcentral.
UACAGAGGUCCCAAGCGUUGUUCGGAUUCACUGGGCGUAAAGGGCGCGUAGGCGGUUUGGUAAGUCUGUCGUGAAAUCUCCGAGCCCAACUCGGAAACUGCGUCGGAUACUGUUCAACUCGAGGAAUGGAGGGGAGACUGGAAUUCUCGGUGUAGCAGUGAAAUGCGUAGAGAUCGAGAGGAACACCAGUGGCGAAGGCGAGUCUCUGGACAGUACCUGACGCUGAGGCACGAAAGCCAGGGGAGCAAACAGG